Cornus florida is the source of this 643-nucleotide long non-coding RNA. RefSeq lists it as uncharacterized. Lineage: Eukaryota; Viridiplantae; Streptophyta; Magnoliopsida; Cornales; Cornaceae. The record is from RefSeq and is a predicted model, not a curated record. The transcript has 3 exons.
CUUUCUCGUGCAGAUUUAUUCGUUCGCACACAUGUAAAUAAGGAUUGCAAAGCUACUGAUGCUGCUGCUUCGGAGAUGAUUGAAAACAUAAAAGAACUUCAAAAAAGUUACUCUGACUCGCCUAUUGGCAGUUCCAAUGAUUUGUUCUCCAUUGUGAGGGGAGAAGAGAGAACUGGUCGUGUGCGGAUGCUUGGCUUCGGGCCUACACCAAGCGAUGUUUGAGGGCCCUCUCCUAGUAAAGCUGAACUGAUUAAUAAUGCGAAAAAAUCUGAUGAGGAGGCACGUGCUGCACACGUAGAGUUGCAGGAGACCAUUUCAAAAAUGCAAGCCGACUAUGACAACAAGUUGGAAAAUUUACGAGCCGACUAUGAUGACAAGUUGGAAAAUUUAUAACAACAGGUGGCUAUGCUAAUGCAGAUGCAACAACAAAAUUAUAGUGGACAGGGUAAUUCAAAUCAAAUGGGCAAGAAGACUUGUUGAAGUUGAAGAUAGGGUCGUGGCUGUGCUUUUUGAAUUUCCUUCACCUUGGAUGGGUUCUUUUUGAAAAACUUGUACUACAUUUGUCAAAAAUUGUUAAUUCUUUUUGUCUGACAUUUCGUAGCUUUAUUUAGACAAUUUGGAUGGUAUAUUGGCAGGUUAACUU